UUUCCGUAGGUGAACCUGCGGAAGGAUCAUUGUCGAAGCCUGCCCAGCAGAACGACCCGCGAACUUGUAUAAACAACCGGGGGCAGGGGCGAUCUCGCCCCGUGCCCUCGAAUGGCAGGGAGACACUCGUGCCUUCUUGUCGAACAACGAACCCCGGCGCAGUCUGCGCCAAGGAACUUCAAUUAAAGAGUACCUCCGGUCGCCUCGGAAACGAUGCGCGUGUCGGAGGCGAAUCUUGUACAAAACCAUAACGACUCUCGGCAACGGAUAUCUCGGCUCUC
RNAcentral lists this unclassified non-coding RNA (281 nucleotides) under plant metagenome. Its description in RNAcentral is "partial contains small subunit ribosomal RNA, internal transcribed spacer 1, and 5.8S ribosomal RNA". The record is from RNAcentral.